UAAGGAAUUUCAGUCAUGUUACAAAGAUGCUAAAUAUCUGAAAGCUUAAAUGUUUACUUCCAGCACCCCCUACCCCUGUAAAUUAUCUUCUGAGAUAAGAUAAAUUCUAAGAUAAUUAAUUUGAGACUUUCUGGUUGGGUUCUGUUUUUUCAUUUUGUUGUCAUGUUUUUUUGCCUUUCCCUAAACAGAUGCAGUAAGGCCUGGAGUAAUCUGAUCCUGGAGCAGAGGGCCUGCUCUGUGUCUCGGCUGCUUGCAAAAUUCCUGUCAAGUACAAGUCUGCUCCAUAAACCUGUGUGAAAGUCUUAUCUUCUUUGAGCAGAUUUUGAAAUAACCUCCUUUCUCCAAACACUGCCAGUGAGAAGUGAUCCCAAUCCCACUGUUUACCUGAAGGUCAUUAGUAAGCAGCUCCACAUUUGUACUCUGUCACAACUUAGACAUGUGGUCUGUAGCCAUUCACAGACCAAACCCUUCUUUUGGGGUUCAACCUCAAUAAAAGCCCAGCACAAGGAAAGCCCAGAGUACACCUGUCAGUCUUGGCUGAGCCCCUCCCUGCCUAGUGACUUUCCUCUGAUGCCCCCAGGCUAUGACCAGAGAAGCUCCAGAUGCAUCCUCUUCUUCUUCAAUUUGCUGCUCUUCCAACCGCAGGCCAGUAAAGAAAUGAAAACCAGUUCAAACUAUGGCAGUCCAGUGACUGAUGUAUAUGGGCCUCAUUGGCUGGGCGGGUGCCUGUGAGGUCAGAACAGAUGGACAAGGAUAUUUCAACUCUGUACCUGACGGUGAAGUUUUAUUCAUCAUUGAAGACUGCCCAUCUCCAGAAAAUAAACAAUUCCCAAGAUGGCAUUUUAUAAAGGAGCAACGUCGCUUUCUGAAAGCAUGUGACCUCCGUCUCCUUCAGGACCUCCUCCAAGCCCUCUAGCAGAGAGACACGCACAUCUUCCGACUUCAUGAUGCUGGAAGACAGCUCCUUCUCCAGGCCCUGGAAAACUUCUUGGUGAAAGUCAAGCACAAUUUGGCAGUUCUCUUCUGAUCAAAAAUUGAGGAAUCACAGGGCACACUGCUAGCACGUACAUACAAGUCCGUAGUGUGUUGCACACCAUCUACUAGUGGCUAGCUUGUCCUGCCAUGACUCCGCAUUCAAGCUCACAGACGUGUGUCUAAGCAGCAAAGCUCUAGAGCAGAAGGACAAUGACCCCAAGAAAGGUUUCUAAUGAACUUAGAAAGCCGACACGGGAAUCUUUCUUUCUGCCAGACUGAAGCUCUCAAUUUCUUUAUCUGAAAAAUGAGAAGGAAUAGUGUUUAGCUCAAAGGUGAAUAAAGCAAGCUCAUGCAUAUGGACA
RNAcentral lists this long non-coding RNA (1337 nucleotides) under Vulpes vulpes (red fox). RNAcentral describes it as "lncRNA (ENSVVUG00000007641.1)". The record is from RNAcentral. Lineage: Eukaryota; Metazoa; Chordata; Mammalia; Carnivora; Canidae.